GAUGAACGCUGGCGGCGUGCCUAAUACAUGCAAGUCGAGCGAACGGACGAGAAGCUUGCUUCUCUGAUGUUAGCGGCGGACGGGUGAGUAACACGUGGAUAACCUGCCUAUAAGACUGGGAUAACUUCGGGAAACCGGAGCUAAUACCGGAUGAUAUUUUGAACCGCAUGGUUCAAAAGUGAAAGACGGUCUUGCUGUCACUUAUAGAUGGAUCCGCGCUGCAUUAGCUAGUUGGUAAGGUAACGGCUUACCAAGGCAACGAUGCAUAGCCGACCUGAGAGGGUGAUCGGCCACACUGGAACUGAGACACGGUCCAGACUCCUACGGGAGGCAGCAGUAGGGAAUCUUCCGCAAUGGGCGAAAGCCUGACGGAGCAACGCCGCGUGAGUGAUGAAGGUCUUCGGAUCGUAAAACUCUGUUAUUAGGGAAGACCAUAUGUGUAAGUAACUGUGCACAUCUUGACGGUACCUAAUCAGAAAGCCACGGCUAACUACGUG
This 497-nucleotide ribosomal RNA is filed under the name uncultured bacterium. RNAcentral describes it as "partial 16S ribosomal RNA". It matches the Rfam family "Bacterial small subunit ribosomal RNA", at positions 28 to 507 of the family's 1533-position model. The record is from RNAcentral.